ACCGAGAUUCCCCCAGUAGCGGCGAGCGAACGGGGAGCAGCCCAGAGCCUGAAUCAGUGUGUGUGUUAGUGGAAGCGUCUGGAAAGGCGCGCGAUACAGGGUGACAGCCCCGUACACAAAAAUGCACAUACUGUGAGCUCGAUGAGUAGGGCGGGACACGUGGUAUCCUGUCUGAAUAUGGGGGGACCAUCCUCCAAGGCUAAAUACUCCUGACUGACCGAUAGUGAACCAGUACCGUGAGGGAAAGGCGAAAAGAACCCCGGCGAGGGGAGUGAAAAAGAACCUGAAACCGUGUACGUACAAGCAGUGGGAGCCUCUUUUAUGGGGUGACUGCGUACCUUUUGUAUAAUGGGUCAGCGACUUAUAUUCUGUAGCAAGGUUAACCGAAUAGGGGAGCCGAAGGGAAACCGAGUCUUAACUGGGCGUUAAGUUGCAGGGUAUAGACCCGAAACCCGGUGAUCUAGCCAUGGGCAGGUUGAAGGUUGGGUAACACUAACUGGAGGACCGAACCGACUAAUGUUGAAAAAUUAGCGGAUGACUUGUGGCUGGGGGUGAAAGGCCAAUCAAACCGGGAGAUAGCUGGUUCUCCCCGAAAGCUAUUUAGGUAGCGCCUCGUGAAUUCAUCUCCGGGGGUAGAGCACUGUUUCGGCAAGGGGGUCAUCCCGACUUACCAACCCGAUGCAAACUGCGAAUACCGGAGAAUGUUAUCACGGGAGACACACGGCGGGUGCUAACGUCCGUCGUGAAGAGGGAAACAACCCAGACCGCCAGCUAAGGUCCCAAAGUCAUGGUUAAGUGGGAAACGAUGUGGGAAGGCCCAGACAGCCAGGAUGUUGGCUUAGAAGCAGCCAUCAUUUAAAGAAAGCGUAAUAGCUCACUGGUCGAGUCGGCCUGCGCGGAAGAUGUAACGGGGCUAAACCAUGCACCGAAGCUGCGGCAGCGACACUAUGUGUUGUUGGGUAGGGGAGCGUUCUGUAAGCCUGUGAAGGUGUACUGUGAGGUAUGCUGGAGGUAUCAGAAGUGCGAAUGCUGACAUAAGUAACGAUAAAGCGGGUGAAAAGCCCGCUCGCCGGAAGACCAAGGGUUCCUGUCCAACGUUAAUCGGGGCAGGGUGAGUCGACCCCUAAGGCGAGGCCGAAAGGCGUAGUCGAUGGGAAACAGGUUAAUAUUCCUGUACUUGGUGUUACUGCGAAGGGGGGACGGAGAAGGCUAUGUUGGCCGGGCGACGGUUGUCCCGGUUUAAGCGUGUAGGCUGGUUUUCCAGGCAAAUCCGGAAAAUCAAGGCUGAGGCGUGAUGACGAGGCACUACGGUGCUGAAGCAACAAAUGCCCUGCUUCCAGGAAAAG
Molecule: ribosomal RNA, 1346 nt
Filed under: Escherichia coli
Lineage: Bacteria; Pseudomonadati; Pseudomonadota; Gammaproteobacteria; Enterobacterales; Enterobacteriaceae
Description: partial 23S ribosomal RNA
Rfam family: Bacterial large subunit ribosomal RNA
Source: RNAcentral